GACGAACGCUGGCGGCGUGCCUAACACAUGCAAGUCGAGCGAAUGAAGUUCCUUCGGGAACGGAUUUAGCGGCGGACGGGUGAGUAACACGUGGGCAACUUGCCCCAUAGAGGGGAAUAGCCUUCCGAAAGGAAGAUUAAUACCGCAUAAGAUUGUAGCUUCGCAUGAAGCAGCAAUUAAAGGAGCAAUCCGCUAUGAGAUGGGCCCGCGGCGCAUUAGCUAGUUGGUGAGGUAACGGCUCACCAAGGCGACGAUGCGUAGCCGACCUGAGAGGGUGAUCGGCCACAUUGGGACUGAGACACGGCCCAGACUCCUACGGGAGGCAGCAGUGGGGAAUAUUGCACAAUGGGGGAAACCCUGAUGCAGCAACGCCGCGUGAGUGAUGACGGUCUUCGGAUUGUAAAGCUCUGUCUUCAGGGACGAUAAUGACGGUACCUGAGGAGGAAGCCACGGCUAACUACGUGCCAGCAGCCGCCGUAA
Molecule: ribosomal RNA, 480 nt
Filed under: uncultured bacterium
Lineage: Bacteria
Description: partial 16S ribosomal RNA
Rfam family: Bacterial small subunit ribosomal RNA
Source: RNAcentral